Molecule: long non-coding RNA, 549 nt
Filed under: Coffea arabica (coffee)
Lineage: Eukaryota; Viridiplantae; Streptophyta; Magnoliopsida; Gentianales; Rubiaceae
Description: long non-coding RNA (CARA_LNC005685)
Source: RNAcentral
AAGAGAUUGUUUCAGGAUUUGGAACAAAAACAAGGUCAAAGACUUAAAGCCAAAACAGGAUUAAUGUUUGGCAAAUUACUGAAAUAGCUGUCGGACGCACAAAAGGACCAUAUCGGACGGCCGACAACCAUUGAUAACUUCGGACGCAUGAAGAACUCACACUCGGACGUCCGAAGGUAAUAUGCCAAAACCUCUAUGAUCACUGACCUCGUUCGGACACACAAUACCUCUAUACCGGACGUCCGACAAACGUUGCUAUACUUUGGACGCAAAACACUGGAGCAUCGGACGUCCGAAAGAAAUGAAGAAGGAUUUGCAAGUUUACUUUCGGACGUAUACUGUGGAAGGACCGGACGUCCUAAGAAUCACAAGAAAUUGUCUUGAACUCACUGUCUUCGUUCGGACGUAGAAAAUCAGAGUACCGGACGUCCGACACUACCAACAGCUAGUUGACUUUCCAACUGCCUUCUAUCCGUUGAAAGCAUUAAUUGAAGAAUUUUUUGAUCUCCUAUAAAUUGGGAUUAGUCAACUCUUCAAAAGUACUUUUAC